RNAcentral lists this long non-coding RNA (241 nucleotides) under Nicotiana benthamiana. RNAcentral describes it as "long non-coding RNA (NBEN_LNC029499)". The record is from RNAcentral. Lineage: Eukaryota; Viridiplantae; Streptophyta; Magnoliopsida; Solanales; Solanaceae.
CGCAGAAAGAAGGAACUUUGGGCUAGCUGAAUCACAACCAGAAAUAGAUGAGUGCUAUGAAGAAAUGCUAGCGGAACUUGCUCAGGAAACAUCUUCACCAGGAAGUGGUGAUGAACAAGCUUCAUUUCCACCACCGCCAACACAACCACCUCCAAACCUUGAAGGUUUAUUAGAUUUGUUAGAAAUAAUACAUAAACUAUGAUGUAACUUGUACAUUGGCAUGUCUUUUUUUAGUUUUUUU